UACGGGGGGGGCAAGCGUUGUUCGGAAUUACUGGGCGUAAAGGGCUCGUAGGCGGCCAACUAAGUCAUACGUGAAAUCCCUCGGCUUAACCGGGGAACUGCGUCUGAUACUGGAAGGCUUGAAUCCGGGAGAGGGAUGUGGAAUUCCAGGUGUAGCGGUGAAAUGCGUAGAUAUCUGGAGGAACACCGGUGGCGAAGGCGACAUCCUGGACCGGUAUUGACGCUGAGGCGCGAAAGCCAGGGGAGCAAACGGG
Molecule: ribosomal RNA, 253 nt
Filed under: uncultured bacterium
Lineage: Bacteria
Description: partial 16S ribosomal RNA
Rfam family: Bacterial small subunit ribosomal RNA
Source: RNAcentral